Molecule: non-coding RNA, 82 nt
Organism: Echinostoma caproni
Lineage: Eukaryota; Metazoa; Platyhelminthes; Trematoda; Plagiorchiida; Echinostomatidae
Source: Rfam
GGCCUCGUGGCUCAGGUGGUAGAGCAUGCGCGUACAAAGCGUAGGCGGUGUCCAUGCGUGGGUUCGAAUCCCACCGAGGCUA